GGUCGGCCGUCAAGGUCUGUACCGUUUGGGUCACGCCCCACUGUAGGAUACUCACCGCUGUCCUUAACUGGGUGGCGGUCAAAGGGGGUGUGCAUGGGGGCAACUCUGUGCAUAUCUCUGGGGUUCCUACUCUUUUACUUUGAGCAAAUUAGAGUGUUCAAAGCAGGCAAUCGAGCCUUGAAUACUUCAGCAUGGGAUAAUGGAACAGGACUGGGGUCCUGAUUUCGUUGGUUUCUGGGAUCUCAGUAAUGAUUAAUAGGGAUAGUUGGGGGCAUUAGUAUUUAAUUGUCAGAGGUGAAAUUCUUGGAUUUAUGAAAGACUAACUUCUGCGAAAGCAUUUGCCAAGGAUGUUUUCAUUAAUCAAGAACGAAAGUUAGGGGAUCGAAGACGAUCAGAUACCGUCGUAGUCUUAACCAUAAACGAUGCCGACCAGCGAUUGGGAGACGUUACAUGGAUGACUCCCCCAGCAGCUUGCGAGAAAUCACAAGUCUUUGGGUUCCGGGGGGAGUAUGGUCGCAAGGCUGAAACUUAAAGGAAUUGACGGAAGGGCACCACCAGGAGUGGAGCCUGCGGCUUAAUUUGACUCAACACGGGGAAACU
This 600-nucleotide ribosomal RNA is filed under the name Amoebozoa sp. FLA_SDB2ii. RNAcentral's name for it is "SSU rRNA". It matches the Rfam family "Eukaryotic small subunit ribosomal RNA", at positions 643 to 1215 of the family's 1831-position model. The record is from RNAcentral.